Molecule: long non-coding RNA, 1149 nt
Organism: Frieseomelitta varia
Lineage: Eukaryota; Metazoa; Arthropoda; Insecta; Hymenoptera; Apidae
Exons: 4
Source: RefSeq, a predicted model, not a curated record
UCAUGCCGCAGACACGACGAGACAGAACAAGAGGCAAACUGAAACUGUCGAGAUACUAUCAGUGUAUGAUAAUAAUGUGAUUCUGAAGUGCUUUCGAUGCAUUUCACUUCCGAUACUGCAUUCCAAUUGGAUUCAACUAUCUAUCAGGACUGCAUCAAUCACACCACAGAGGCUGUCCAUCAUAUCGAUCACACUACCAAUAUCCAUGAGCAAACAAAUCACGACAUAUCAAAUAUUUUGUUCAAACCUAUGUAAACAGUACAUUCAUUUAAAUAUAACUCAACACGCUCUUUCGUAUGUAAAGACCGUGCGAAAAUCGGCACAGGACUCGAGAGAAUUUUCAAGGCGCCUGGCUGUCGCAAUCGAUGCUCGCUGUAUAUAGGUCGCAAUAAGAUAGAUGGACGACGAUGACGUAGGCACAUGCAAAAAGUUCGCUUAAGUAACACAGGGAUGCUAUUGGUCCUUCGCCCACGUGAAUCCCUUGGAUCAAUCGCGUGUGUGUAUCCAGGCCAGAGUUUCUUAAAUCAUCGCGCCAGGACGAGAACUAUUUUCGUGCAAACAGCUCCGUCCUUGAGCCUUGAACUUUGUUUUCAGCGAAGGAAAGUAUGCUAUCAUGUUGAUGAUGCUGUUUACGUUGCAUUGCACGAAUUGUUUCCCCGAUCGCGGUUGGAACUAUGCUCCGAAUUUUUUUCUAUAUGCUGUUAUAAGAGUUUCAUCAUAUAUUAUGUCACUCCCAUGUAAGAUGUUACGUAAGGUCCACGUAAAACAGUUAAAAGAGUGAUUUUUUUUUCUUUUUGCUCUAUUUUAUUUUGCUUGCAGAUAAGAAAAUAUUAUUAAUGAAAGUUUGUAUUGCGUGUUUUACGUACGGUCUUAUAAUAACGUAUUUCUUGCACAUAUGUGCAAUGAAAAUGAACUGUUAUCAGUCAUUUACAAUUGUUGUUAAGCAUAUUCCAUUCGAUAAAACUCGAUCGAUUUCAUUUUUUUAUUUUAUGGAAGUUAGAUAUUUACAAAACCAGUUUCCAUCGAUACUGGUUAGAAAGUAGUAAUUGCUAUUCAACAUCCUUCGUUAACUGACGGAAUUAAGCAAUUCGCGAUUGUGUGAUCUACAAAUUAUUUCAUUUACAACUUCAAAUGAUAAGCCAUAAAAAU